UCCGGUUUGUCACCGGCAGUCUCAUUAGAGUGCCCUUUCGUAGCAACUAAUGACAAGGGUUGCGCUCGUUGCGGGACUUAACCCAACAUCUCACGACACGAGCUGACGACAGCCAUGCAGCACCUGUGUGAUGGCUCUCUUUCGAGCACCCCGCAAUCUCUUGCAGGUUCCAUCCAUGUCAAGGGUAGGUAAGGUUUUUCGCGUUGCAUCGAAUUAAUCCACAUCAUCCACCGCUUGUGCGGGUCCCCGUCAAUUCCUUUGAGUUUUAAUCUUGCGACCGUACUCCCCAGGCGGUCAACUUCACGCGUUAGCUGCGUUACCAAGUCAAUUAAGACCCGACAACUAGUUGACAUCGUUUAGGGCGUGGACUAC
This 372-nucleotide unclassified non-coding RNA is filed under the name uncultured Gammaproteobacteria bacterium. RNAcentral describes it as "contains 16S-23S intergenic spacer region". Lineage: Bacteria; Pseudomonadati; Pseudomonadota; Gammaproteobacteria. The record is from RNAcentral.